ACGAACGCUGGCGGCGUGCUUCACACAUGCAAGUCGAACGCUGAAGCUCAGCUUUUGUUGGGUGGAUGAGUGGCGAACGGGUGAGUAACACGUGAGUAACCUGCCUCCUUCUUUGGGAUAACGCCCGGAAACGGGUGCUAAUACUGGAUAUUCACUGGUCUUCGCAUGGGGGUUGGUGGAAAGGGUUUUUCUGGUGGGGGAUGGGCUCGCGGCCUAUCAGCUUGUUGGUGGGGUGAUGGCCUACCAAGGCUUUGACGGGUAGCCGGCCUGAGAGGGUGACCGGUCACAUUGGGACUGAGAUACGGCCCAGACUCCUACGGGAGGCAGCAGUGGGGAAUAUUGCACAAUGGGCGCAAGCCUGAUGCAGCGACGCCGCGUGAGGGAUGGAGGCCUUCGGGUUGUGAACCUCUUUCGCUCAUGGUCAAGCCGCAACAAUGGUUGUGGUGAGGGUAGUGGGUAAAGAAGCGCCGGCUAACUACGUG
RNAcentral lists this ribosomal RNA (482 nucleotides) under uncultured bacterium. Its description in RNAcentral is "partial 16S ribosomal RNA". It matches the Rfam family "Bacterial small subunit ribosomal RNA", at positions 29 to 507 of the family's 1533-position model. The record is from RNAcentral.